Molecule: transfer RNA, 80 nt
Filed under: Perca flavescens (yellow perch)
Lineage: Eukaryota; Metazoa; Chordata; Actinopteri; Perciformes; Percidae
Rfam family: tRNA
About the family: Transfer RNA (tRNA) molecules are approximately 80 nucleotides in length. Their secondary structure includes four short double-helical elements and three loops (D, anti-codon, and T loops).
Source: Rfam by way of RNAcentral
GCUGUGAUGGCGGAGUGGUUAAGGCGUUGGACUUGAAACCAAUGGGGUUUCCCUUGUAGGUUUAAACCCUACUCACAGCG